CAGCUUAACUCUAGUGCACUUUUUAGAAAUAAAUUAAAAGUAUGCUUGAGUUUAGCAUACUUUUAAAAAGUGUAAUUAAGCAUAUAUUUAUUACCAACGUACUUGUAGUACACUUUUUUGAAAUACAUUUAAAAGCUAUUUAACAUAUUUUUAAUACACUUUAAAUAAGCACGUUGGGAAUACAAAUGUACUAAAAACAUAUUACUUAAAUUUUAAGUAUAUUUUUAAUACAUUAAAUACUACUUUUUUUUCACCUGGGAAAUGCCGCUUAAUAUGAGAAGACAACAGUUAAUGGCUGUGUAUUGGACAAAUCUGAAUUGUCAAAACGAGGUACACCCAACAAGGAAAAUUUUGGGGGUAUGUUGGGAAAAAGGAAUGAAGAAAUAUAAGAGUUUUGGAUGGGUGGUAGAAAAUGACAUUAAGGAGAUGGGGAUUAACAAUUAUAGAUGUGUACCCAGAGUGAUAUAUCCACAUAUCCCAAUAUGGAUUCUCCCUCAGCCAGUAGUAGACUUAACAUUACUGAAGAUAAGACAAAGCGAAAGAGAUUAUGAGAUGGAAGUAAUAAGAGCAAAAGAGUAUUUGAGUAGUACGUAUGAGGACAAUGUACAGAUAUACACAGAUGCAUCCAAGAAAGGAAGAAGAGUAGGAGUGGCAGUCAAUGUGCCAAAGUUAAUGGUGAGGAAAAAAGUCAGAAUUAGUGACCAAAUUUCAGUAUAUACAGGUGAGCUAAUGGCUAUGCUGUUAGCACAGUGCAAGUAGUUAAGGAAAGGGAAAUAAAAAAUGCAGUAAUAUGCUCAGAUUCAUAUUCAGCAAUAGUCAGCAUUGAAAAUAAAAAAUCAGAAUCAAGGCCAGAUUUAAUCAUUGAAAUUUUUCAAAAUCUUUAUGAGUUGAGGCAAAGCAAGAUAGAAGUACAGUUUAUGUGGGUGCCAGCACAUGUAGGAAUUAAAGGUAAUGAAGAAGCAGAUAAGUUAGCUAAGCAAGCAGUAGAUGAUGAGAGGAUAGAAAUUGAGUUACCACAUAGUAUAAAAGAAAUAAAAUCAGUAAUAAAAGAGAAAGUGAUUGAAAAGUGGCAACAAUAUUGGGAUAAUGAGAGUAGAGGAAGACAUUUAUAUGCAAUACAAGAGAAAGUGGGAAAAGGUAGGAAAAGAGGAAGAAAUAGAAGAGAGGAAAGUAUAUUUACGAGAUUGAGAGUGGGGCAUACAGGUUUGAAUAAAACAUUGCAUUUAAUAGCUAAGCACCCAACAGGUUUGUGUGAGAAAUGUGGACAGAGUGAAACAGUAGAACAUGUGACUAUGAGUUGUAAUGGAUAUGAUGAAGAAAGGAAAGUGUUAAGAGAAGGAGUGUGGAACAAUGAAGGGAAAGAAUUAACAGUAAAGAAUAUAUUAGAUCUAGGUAUAGGAAGUAGUACGGUUGAUGUGUUGUUUCAGUUUUUGAAUAGUACUGGUUUAAUGAAAAGAGUGUAGGAUUAAAUAUGGAUAGGAUUAUAGAAUUAAGUAGUGGAUGAAGUAUAGAGAGAAUCAGGGAAAGUAAAGUGUUGUUGUUGUUGUGUUUUUUUUUUUUUAUUAAUUUACUUGGGAGGGGGUUAGAAAGGUUAAGAGAAAGAAAGGUUUCUGGUCCAAGCUCCAUGCUACCUGAAGAUGGCAGUAAUGCACUGUUAAGUGCGGUUGCCAAUAAACUGGAAAAGAAGAAGAAGAAGCAGCCACGAGGAAAGCAUGUAUCACACUCGUUUGGUCUUGUGUCAAAGCUCUGCGAAACUGGAGGGAGAAACUUGAGAGACCGUGCCGGAAGAAUGCUGGACAGAGUUCACUAAAAUUCAUUCAUUUCAAAGUUCAACAUGAAUGGUGGUGGUCCACUGCAGAAGCAAGCAUUUGAAAAAACAUCACUUCUCAGUUAUUAAAGAUGCUGUGUUGAACAACUUCCCAGCAGCAACAGAACUGGAAGUGAAGGAUGCAAUGGGGGCAUUUCAAACAGGUAGGUGUAUCCCAGACAUCAGAGGACUACCUGAUGUGGAUUAGAGUUGGCUGACUUUAAGAAGAAAGAAGGAGAGGUGUCUGGUCUGGAAUGCACCGGAUUAGUUUGCUGCCUGUGAUGUUGAGUAGGUGAUUUGAAUCAGAGACAAAAGAUGACUCAGGGCGGUAGAUGCACCAGAAUCGUUAGACGUGCCAUCAUUUCGCCAAGCUUUGAUUUUACCCAUCUGAUCAUGAUUCUUUGAUGACUGCACACUCGGAACCUUUCUUGCUAGACACGUUGUCUCUGCAACAAGCUUUGAUUUCAACCGCUUCAUCAUUAAUCUUCAAAGACUGCACGAGAUUAGUAUAGGUUUAUAUAAAAUAAAUAACUUUUGAUACAAUAAAAUUUA
Non-coding RNA from Paramisgurnus dabryanus, 2359 nucleotides. The record is from RefSeq and is a predicted model, not a curated record. NCBI's taxonomy places the organism in Eukaryota, Metazoa, Chordata, Actinopteri, Cypriniformes, Cobitidae.